RNAcentral lists this ribosomal RNA (253 nucleotides) under uncultured bacterium. RNAcentral's name for it is "partial 16S ribosomal RNA". It matches the Rfam family "Bacterial small subunit ribosomal RNA", at positions 524 to 776 of the family's 1533-position model. The record is from RNAcentral.
UACAGAGGUGGCAAGCGUUGUUCGGAAUUACUGGGCGUAAAGCGUGCGCAGGCGGUCUUGCAAGACAGAUGUGAAAUCCCCGGGCUCAACCCCGGGCGUGCGGUGGAUACUGCCGGGCUAGAGGGUGGUAGAGGCGAGUGGAAUUCCCGGUGUAGCGGUGAAAUGCGCAGAUAUCUGGAGGAACACCGGUGGCGAAGGCGGCAUCCUGGACCGGCAUUGACGCUGAGGCGCGAAAGCUAGGGGAGCAAACGGG